CGCACACGAAACAAAAAAUUCUUUUUUUAAACAAAAAAAACAAAAAGGAAAUAAAAAUAAGGGUAAACUUCAAAUACCAUUCCUGUAAUUUCAUACUUUUUUAUUUUAAUAUUUUAUAAUUUAAAGUGUAUCAAUUUAAUACUUUGUAGUUUUAUUUUUUUUUUCCGUCAAUUCCUAUGUUAAUUUUUUGUUAAAUCAUAUACAAAAAAAACUUCAGAUUUUUCACUUAGGUAUCGUUUGGUUUGAGGAUAAGCAAAAAGUGAUUAUUUUAAGGAUAGGUAUAAAUUGAGAUUAGAUUAAUUUUGCGUUUGGAUGAAAAUUAGGUUAUUCCUGGAAAUAAAAAAAAUAGCGUUUGGUUAGGUAAGAUGGAAUAAGAAAGAUAGUAGGCUUUAUAAAUAAAAAAUAAUCAUAUUAUCCUCUUAUUAUAUUUGAAUUUAAAUUUUUAAAUUUUAAAUAUAUAUUUUUAAAUUUAAAAUUUUAACUUUGAAAUUCAAAAUUUGAAAUUUAACAUCUCAAACUUUAAAUUCAAAAUUUUAAAUUUAAAAUUUCAAACUUUAAAUUUAAGAUCAAAUUUAAAUUUGAAAAAUAUAAAAUAUCAAAUUUUAAAUUUUAAAAUUAAAAUAUCAAAAUUAAAAUUUAUAAUUUAUAAUUUAUAAUUUAAAAUUAUAAACUUUAAUUUUGAGAUUAUAAAUUAUAAAUUUUAAAAAUUUAAAAUUUUAAUUUUUAAAUUUUUAAAAUAAGAAUCGGGGUGGGAACAAUUAAUAAAAAUAAUUUAUUAUAAUAAAUUUAUAGAUUUUUUAAAAAAUUCUACUUAAACUUAAAUUUAAUAAAAAGAAUUUAUUAUAAUACUUAAAUAUAAUUUACUAUAAAUUUUAUUAUAAUAUUUAAAUAUAAAUAAUAAUUAUUAAUAUAGUACAAUUAAUAAUUUUAUAAUAAAAAUAAUGUAUUAUAAUAUAUAAAUUUUAAAAAAUUAAAUUUUUAAUUUUUAAAUUUUUAAAAUAAGAAUAGGGGUGGGAACAAUUAAUAAAAACUAUUUAUUAUAAUAAAUUUAUAAAUUUUUUUAAAAUUCUACUUAAACUUAAAUUUAAUAAAAAGAAUUUAUUAUAAUAUUUAAAUAUAAUUUAUUAUAAAUUUUAUUAUAAUAUUUAAAUAUAAAUAAUAUGUAUUAAUAUAGUACAAUUAAUAAUUUUAUAAUAAAAAUAAUGUAUUAUAAUAUAUAACAUAUUAUAUUUAUAUAAUUUAGUUUUAAUUUAAUUUAUAAUUUUAAUUAAGUUUGAAAUUAAGCAUUGGAAUAGUGCUAUUCUACCAAAAUGGUGGAAUAACAAAUCCCUUGCUAUUCCGGGAUAACCGGAAAUAGCAAGGUUUGACCGGGAUAAAAUAUCCCGGCCAAAUUUCACCCCGUUUGGCGGAAUAGCGGGGUUAACUUUCGUUAUCCCUGCUUAUUCCCCCAACCAAACGGGGCCUUAUAGUUUAUCGAAUAUUCACUUCAGUAUAUCUUAAUUUUAACUUUGUCACUGAUUUAAUAAAAAAAAUUAGUGAAGGAAAUAACCAAAAAAAAUAAAAAUUACAGAAUAUGAAAAUAAUUUAUUUUAAAUUAUAAAAUACUAAAGUGAUAAAGUGUGAAAAUACAGGAGUAGUAUUUAAAGUUUUCCCUGAAAACA
RNAcentral lists this long non-coding RNA (1661 nucleotides) under Ananas comosus (pineapple). RNAcentral describes it as "long non-coding RNA (ACOM_LNC000148)". Lineage: Eukaryota; Viridiplantae; Streptophyta; Magnoliopsida; Poales; Bromeliaceae. The record is from RNAcentral.